UCCCGGUUGGUGCAAUGGGUAGCACAACGGACCUUGGUUCCGUUGAUCCAGGUUCGAGUCCUGGACCGGGAGCGA
Molecule: transfer RNA, 75 nt
Filed under: Kibdelosporangium sp. MJ126-NF4
Lineage: Bacteria; Bacillati; Actinomycetota; Actinomycetes; Pseudonocardiales; Pseudonocardiaceae
Description: tRNA-Gln-TTG
Rfam family: tRNA
About the family: Transfer RNA (tRNA) molecules are approximately 80 nucleotides in length.
Source: RNAcentral